UCCAAAAAAAAAAAAAAGAAACUAUCAUGAGAGUGAACAGGCAACCUACAGAAUUAGGGAAAAUUUUUGCAAUCUAUCCAUCUAACAAAGGGCUAAUAUCCAGAAUCUACAAAGAACUUAAACAAAUUUACAAGAAAAAAACAACCCCAUCAAAAAGUGGGCAAAGGAUAUGAACAGACACUUCUCAAAAGAAGACAUUUAUGCAG
RNAcentral lists this long non-coding RNA (206 nucleotides) under Homo sapiens (human). RNAcentral's name for it is "non-protein coding lnc-CHD9-13:1". The record is from RNAcentral. Lineage: Eukaryota; Metazoa; Chordata; Mammalia; Primates; Hominidae.